GGGUUCUGCCGUUGGUCAGGCAAUAGUCUGUACUGGCGUGUGGAAUUUCUACCUUCUGGGGAACCAUCAUGUUAUUUAUUUAGCGUGGUGGGAAACCAGGACCUUUACCUUGAAAAAAUUAGAGUGUUCAAAGCAGGCUUACGUCUGAAUACAUUAGCAUGGAAUAAUAAAAUAGGACGGUGGUCCUGUUUUGUUGGUUUCUGAAUCACCGUA
RNAcentral lists this ribosomal RNA (213 nucleotides) under uncultured Gigaspora. RNAcentral describes it as "partial small subunit ribosomal RNA". The stretch from base 44 to 213 matches the Rfam family "Eukaryotic small subunit ribosomal RNA", at positions 691 to 863 of the family's 1831-position model. Lineage: Eukaryota; Fungi; Glomeromycota; Glomeromycetes; Diversisporales; Gigasporaceae. The record is from RNAcentral.